RNAcentral lists this small RNA (1026 nucleotides) under uncultured fungus. RNAcentral describes it as "eukaryotic LSU rRNA". The stretch from base 592 to 1026 matches the Rfam family "Eukaryotic large subunit ribosomal RNA", at positions 1 to 429 of the family's 3401-position model. Lineage: Eukaryota; Fungi. The record is from RNAcentral.
UCCGUAGGUGAACCUGCGGAAGGAUCAUUAGUGAAUUGAAUAUGUUAGCGGACCUCUUCGGAGUCCCUAGCAUCAAAUCAUAUCCAUAACACCUGUGAACUGUAAGGCUGUCUUGAAAACGAAAGUGAUUAGAGCGCCUGCCCAUUUUAUACAAACAUUAAAGUAACAAACGUAGUCUUAUUAUAAUCUAAUAAAACUUUCAACAACGGAUCUCUUGGCUCUCGCAUCGAUGAAGAACGCAGCGAAAUGCGAUAAGUAAUGUGAAUUGCAGAAUUCAGUGAAUCAUCGAAUCUUUGAACGCACCUUGCGCUCUUUGGGUAUUCCCCAAAGAGCAUGCCUGUUUGAGUGUCAUGAAAAUAUCAACCUUGACUUGGGUUUAGUGCUCUUGUCUUGGCUUGGAUUUGGCUGUUUGCCGCUCGAAAGAGUCGGCUCAGCUUAAAAGUAUUAGCUGGAUCUGUCUUUGAGACUUGGUUUGACUUGGCGUAAUAAGUUAUUUCGCUGAGGACAAUCUUCGGAUUGGCCGAGUUUCUGGGACGUUUGUCCGCUUUCUAAUACAAGUUCUAGCUUGCUAGACAUGACUUUUUUAUUAUCUGGCCUCAAAUCAGGUAGGACUACCCGCUGAACUUAAGCAUAUCAAUAAGCGGAGGAAAAGAAACUAACAAGGAUUCCCCUAGUAACGGCGAGUGAAGCGGGAAGAGCUCAAAUUUGAAAUCUGGUGGCCUCAGGCUAUCCGAGUUGUAAUCUAUAGAAACAUUUUCCGCGUUGGCCCAUGUACAAGUCUCUUGGAAUAGAGCGUCAUAGAGGGUGAGAAUCCCGUCCUUGACAUGGACUACCAGUGCUUUGUGAUAUGUUUUCAACGAGUCGAGUUGUUUGGGAAUGCAGCUCAAAAUGGGUGGUAAAUUCCAUCUAAAGCUAAAUAUUGGCGAGAGACCGAUAGCGAACAAGUACCGUGAGGGAAAGAUGAAAAGCACUUUGGAAAGAGAGUUAAACAGUAUGUGAAAUUGUUGAAAGGGAAACGCUUGAAGU